Molecule: long non-coding RNA, 499 nt
Organism: Bombus huntii
Lineage: Eukaryota; Metazoa; Arthropoda; Insecta; Hymenoptera; Apidae
Exons: 5
Source: RefSeq, a predicted model, not a curated record
GUUUAGUGUCGAAAGUCGUACGGCGAGACGUGUUACUUUACUAGACGUGUGUAACCUAUAUAUUAUACAACUCUACGCCGACGCCAUGUUGGUUAACGAAUUCUACGAUGGCCUACCAUGGAUUUUCGAUUUAUUGCAAUGAAAGCAAUGAUUGUUCACAACUCCUAUUCUCUCUUCCUACACGGAGUCCGAUUGAUUGUUCACGAUAACAAUCUUCGUGGCAUCGUCUUCAGUGAUUUCUUCUGGCCUACUCCAGUAUCGAUGACAACGUUCUUCGCAUAUAAUGAUUUAUCAAAUUUGUUUUUGGGGAAUUUUUAAUGGAACAAUUUACAAUGGAGCAGAACUAGUAGAGAUUCUAAAAAAAGGAUUGCUGGAAGUGCUGGCCAGCUGAACGACUGGUCUGGGUGCAGUGGGUGCUGAUACGCUUCUUGUGAUGCUUGGCCCAGGUUCUUGGGUCCUGGGUCCAGGGGUGGUCAAGGAUAUCGUUGCUGUGGUUGUG